CCUAUUUUGUUUAUUUGAUUGCAUUCAAUGAAAUACAAAUAGUUUUCUGUAAAAAGAUUUCAGUGGUAUUUGAACGGAGAAUGUAUUCAAGGAACUUCAAAUAUGGUUAAAAAACAGAUUGAAGAUACUUCGCUUCACUAACAAUUAUAAUAUUGUUUGUUGUUCGGGAGAACUUAAAAAUUAUAAAUGUUAAUUUUAUUUUUUACUGCAGGUUUAAGAAUUUAAUGGUGUUUUAUAUAUUUUUGGAAUUAACGGUUAAUACGUACGCAUUUUAACUUAUUGUUUCUAAAGAAACAUGGCUACUUAUGUGACAAAAAUUUAACGUGUUAUGUAAACUAUUUUGUAGGCAAUAAAUGCGUAAAGAUACAUUUGUUUAUUUAUCGUUAAUCUUCUGUUAUGUGAAAAAUCAUUCAGUCACGUCGAAUGUCACGAACUCGAAAAUGGGAUUCAAGGAUGUGCCUUAAAAAAUGAAAAAGAAUGGAAUUAAUGGGUUAAGCUUUGAAAGACAAAAUAGCCGCCAUCAUUUCGUAAUCCCAUCAACGCAUUGGAGUUGAAUGGAUAAGCGUAUGAAAGUUCCAUGGAGACACGCAAUAAAAUUUGACCUAGAUAGAAUUAAAUUUUCAUUUUUUUAGAUUGUAUAACAUAUAGAAAUAUAUUACGGAAUUUUCGUG
Molecule: long non-coding RNA, 671 nt
Organism: Daktulosphaira vitifoliae (grape phylloxera)
Lineage: Eukaryota; Metazoa; Arthropoda; Insecta; Hemiptera; Phylloxeridae
Exons: 3
Source: RefSeq, a predicted model, not a curated record